Mya arenaria is the source of this 1038-nucleotide long non-coding RNA. RefSeq lists it as uncharacterized. The record is from RefSeq and is a predicted model, not a curated record. The transcript is spliced from 3 exons. NCBI's taxonomy places the organism in Eukaryota, Metazoa, Mollusca, Bivalvia, Myida, Myidae.
GCGUCUUGCGUCGUUUCGCUUUCCGAUAUUCCUGACAAAUUAUCAUAAAUGUGACAUUACAAUGCAAACAAAAUAGAAGUUAAAGGAAUUUGUAACUGGCUGCUACAUCGGAAGGCUCGAUAUAUCUUUAGAAAAUGACGAUAUCUAACAUUUACGGGGUGAAAUAUACAGUAGAGAGAAAAUCGGAUAGCCGCCAUAUUGUCAACAUUGACAUCGAUACAAAGGAAAAGCGUGUGUGUGACGCAUACUGUAAAUGCAAACAAGGAAAUUGUGGAACAUGUUCACACACUCUGGCUGUAAAAGUAGACCUGGGAGGAAAAGUCUUCAACAAGCCUACCGCCACAGGGGACCUAGCAUAAGACCAGAAACCGCCCCCCUCCCACACACACAUGAUAUAUGCCAGUCCAGGCAAUGUCAACCGCAAGAGAAAACCAGUGAUGAUGUGAUGACAAGUUUUACAAUAAUCGGAAAGUGUGGUCUUUUGAAAAGAGUUCUUGAAGUUGUUCAGCAUGUUGUUUUGAUGGAUUCUUGGAAGGGUGUAUCUCUAUGAUGUUAGCUUCAGUUCUGGAGUAUAACACCAGUUGUAGCAUAUUUAAUAUCAUAUUUAUUAAAUACAUUGUUGUUUUGCAAACAUUCCUUAUAUAUUUCUUUGGUGUUUAUGUAUGAUAUUGUAGGUGAAUAUCUCUUUAAUGCAAUGGCAAAUAUAUUUUAAAAUAUAUAGCAUUAGCAGAAGUUAUUUUUCACUGUUAAAGCUGCACUUUCACAGAUUGAUCGCGUUGACAACUUACCCAGGAUUCGAUUGCAUUUAUCAUAUUUUGGCUCGGAGAAGUUUGCUUUGUGAUUUAUAUAUUAGGUCUUAAUUUAAAGAAUGCCAAAAUAAGCCGAUUCUGAGACAAAAAGUGUCAAACUAGAAUUCUGUGAGAGUGCAACUUUAAGAAUACUGUUAAUCGAGUGUGCAUGUGAUCCGGACUCUGAACAUUGGAUGAACUAUCAUUAAUUAUUGUAACUUUACGUAAAUGGCCCAAAAUAUAAGAAUAA